Molecule: ribosomal RNA, 293 nt
Filed under: uncultured fungus
Lineage: Eukaryota; Fungi
Description: partial large subunit ribosomal RNA
Source: RNAcentral
CAGUCAUGCCGGUGAGAAUCAACUUUGGGGAAGGGGGAUUUUUUUGAACCUAACCUUGAAGUGCACUUCUUCGCUUGGCAGGUUACCGCCUAUUUUGAACGUCAUAAAAUGAUUGGGGGAAGGUAGCUCUUUCGGGAGUGUUAUAGCCCUUAAUUAAUGUGAUAUUUGGGAUCGAGGAUUGCAACGGAUACCUUUUUUUAGGCUAGCCGCCUGGCCUCUGAUUCGAUGUUGGGUUAUAGACAGCACGCUGACUAUGAUCUGAUUAUUGGUCAAAAGGUUAAAGCGAGCAUAAA